This 459-nucleotide long non-coding RNA is filed under the name Rosa chinensis. Its description in RNAcentral is "sRNA RchiOBHm_Chr1g0328731". The record is from RNAcentral. Lineage: Eukaryota; Viridiplantae; Streptophyta; Magnoliopsida; Rosales; Rosaceae.
CCGAAGAGACUUAUGUGGACCAAGGCGGUGCGUCUGUAGGACACGCGCCGUUACCAACCGCGGCUGAAUAUUGGAUGGGUACAGUUGACAUGGGAGGCAGUGAGGCACGCCGAUUCGAAGCCUCUUCCAUUAAACCACCUGCAGAACAGAGACAACCGGUCGGCGUCGGUGUCUUCGCCUCCGAUCCCGACACCCCCUUGGUCCGCCUCGGAUGGAGCAAGCAGGACUCCAGGAACAUGGCCACCACCAUCAUGGAUAGCGCCAAGGCCGUCGUCCUCGAUAUCUGCUUCCCGAGCCGAAGCCGACUUUGCCGCCGGAAAGAUCGCUGAAGCAGAGGUUACCGGGGGCGUGGCCGGUGGCCUGGAAGAGGAUGGUGGGGAGGACGGAGCCGUCGGACAUUUUGGGGAGCUUGUCGGGGUCGUAGUGGUCGCGGCGAGUUUCUGGUCGAUGCCGGCGACG